UACGGGAGGCAGCAGGGGGAAUAUUGCACAAUGGGCGAAAGCCUGAUGCAGCUAUGCCGCGUGUAUGAAGAAGGCCUUAGGGUUGUAAAGUACUUUCAUCGGGGAGGAAAAACAAAACUAAUAAUUUUAUUUCUUGACGUUACCCGAAAAAGAAGCACCGGCUAACUCCGUGCCAGCAGCCGCGGUAAUACGGAGGGUGCUAGCGUUAAUCAGAAUUACUGGGCGUAAAGAGCACGUAGGUGGUUUUUUUAAGUCAGAUGUGAAAUCCCUGGGCUUAACCUAGGAACUGCAUUUUGAAACUGAAAUACUAGAGUAUCGUAGAGGGAGGUAGAAUUCUAGGUGUAGCGGUGAAAUGCGUAGAUAUCUGGAGGAAUACCUGUGGCGAAAGCGGCCUCCUAAACGAAUACUGACACUGAGGUGCGAAAGCGUGGGGAGCAAACAGGGAUUAGAUACC
This 454-nucleotide ribosomal RNA is filed under the name uncultured bacterium. RNAcentral describes it as "bacterial SSU rRNA". It matches the Rfam family "Bacterial small subunit ribosomal RNA", at positions 340 to 786 of the family's 1533-position model. The record is from RNAcentral.